AUAAGAUGAUGAUGAUGAUACUGGUGAUGACAAUGGUGACAGUAGCUGCAUAUAUUACCUUUCUAUUUAUUUACCAUAAUCAUCGUCAUCAUCAACAUCAUCA
RNAcentral lists this microRNA precursor (103 nucleotides) under Bigelowiella natans CCMP2755. Its description in RNAcentral is "miRNA EPrBNAG00000013330". Lineage: Eukaryota; Cercozoa; Chlorarachniophyceae. The record is from RNAcentral.